GCCGAUGGUACUGCUAUAUCAAGUGGGAGAGUAGGUAGCCGCCUUUU
This 47-nucleotide ribosomal RNA is filed under the name Maribacter spongiicola. The record is from RNAcentral. Lineage: Bacteria; Pseudomonadati; Bacteroidota; Flavobacteriia; Flavobacteriales; Flavobacteriaceae.